Long non-coding RNA from Anarrhichthys ocellatus (wolf-eel), 359 nucleotides. RefSeq lists it as uncharacterized. The record is from RefSeq and is a predicted model, not a curated record. The transcript has 2 exons. Lineage: Eukaryota; Metazoa; Chordata; Actinopteri; Perciformes; Anarhichadidae.
UCUUCCUUGUUUAUCUUCAGGUGAUCCGGUUCGAUGGAGGAGAAUACGUGUCGAUGGCGGGAGAGUUUAACGAGCUGCGCAGAGUGACUCCAGAUCAGUGGAACAUUAUCGGGAUGAUGACCAGAAGCACUAAAGGAUCCUAAAAACACUCAGACACUCCUCAUUGGACCACAACAACCAAUCAGAUCACAGGGCUCUGGUAGUCCCGCCCACCUGCUGAUGUCAUUGUGAUGAGAGAUGUGAUAUUUGCAGCGAUCGAACUGUGAUUAUUGAUUCUUAUUGUUAGCUGAAGUCAUGUGACUCACUGCACAUGCUCAGUGCGUCUGUUUGAUAAUAAAACAGUGAAGAUUAAACACAAA